AUUUUUGUUAUAAUAACUAGACGUUCAUUACACAAUGUUUGUAAAAUAGCCCCGAAGGGCACGGUUCACAGAGGUUUGGAAUAGUUAUAAGCCCGUGAGGGCGUUCACUAAUGAUCCUUCCGCAGGUUCACCUACGGAAA
Molecule: unclassified non-coding RNA, 140 nt
Filed under: uncultured fungus
Lineage: Eukaryota; Fungi
Description: sequence contains ITS1
Source: RNAcentral